CAAUCCAUGAGUAAAGCGGCGUACGGGUGAGUAACACGUGGGUAAUCUACCUUUUAGUGGGGAAUAACCCUGGGAAACCGGGGCUAAUACCGCAUAAUUCUGUAAAGAGAAAGCAGCAAUGCGCUGAAAGAGGAGCCCGCGGCCGAUUAGCUAGUUGGUGAGGUAAUGGCUCACCAAGGCGGUGAUCGGUAGCCGGCCUGAGAGGGCACACGGCCACACUGGCACUGAAACACGGGCCCG
RNAcentral lists this ribosomal RNA (240 nucleotides) under uncultured bacterium. RNAcentral's name for it is "partial 16S ribosomal RNA". It matches the Rfam family "Bacterial small subunit ribosomal RNA", at positions 80 to 334 of the family's 1533-position model. The record is from RNAcentral.